This 368-nucleotide ribosomal RNA is filed under the name uncultured organism. RNAcentral's name for it is "partial 23S ribosomal RNA". It matches the Rfam family "Bacterial large subunit ribosomal RNA", at positions 2099 to 2465 of the family's 2925-position model. The record is from RNAcentral.
CUUUACUGUAGCCUGAAAUUGGUUUUGGAUUUUUUUUGCGCAGUCUAAGUGGGAGGCUUUGAAGACUUUUUUUCGGGAAAGUUGGAGCCAUUAUUGAGAGACCACUCUGAAAAAAUUUAAAAUCUAAAAGCGUUCCUUGAAGCAGGACGCUUGACAGUUUUAGGUGGUCAGUUUGACUGGGGCGGUCGUCUCUUAAAAGGUAACAGAGAUGUGCAAAGGUUUUUUCAGGCUGGACGGAAAUCAGUUAUUGAGUAUAAAGGCAUAAGAAAGCUUGACUGUAAGACCUACAAGUCAAACAGGGGCGAAAGCCGGCCUUAGUGAUCCGACGGUACUGAGUGGAAGGGCCGUCGCUAAACGGAUAAAAGGUA